UCAUCGACGAUGGACGCCUGGGCCCAACAGGCUAUGCGCCCUAAACCAACGACAACAGCAACAUUAAUCGACUUCAACAGUAUGUCAAAUCAUCAGAAACAUGACAGUUGCUGCAUGGGCCACCCUGCUGUUCCUUCGGUCACACAGACUUUGGAUGAAAUGGAGUGGGAGAGAGGCAUCUGGCCAGCAGCACUGGAAGGUGACAUGGCCCGGCUGGAGCUACUCCUGGGUCGUGGCUCUGCAGCUGACCGAGCUGACCAGGCUGGCUACACUGCGCUACACUAUGCAGCACGUGCUGGCCAGCU
This 305-nucleotide long non-coding RNA is filed under the name Pollicipes pollicipes. RNAcentral describes it as "uncharacterized LOC119110715, transcript variant X1". Lineage: Eukaryota; Metazoa; Arthropoda; Thecostraca; Pollicipedomorpha; Pollicipedidae. The record is from RNAcentral.